Molecule: long non-coding RNA, 497 nt
Filed under: Brassica napus (rape)
Lineage: Eukaryota; Viridiplantae; Streptophyta; Magnoliopsida; Brassicales; Brassicaceae
Description: long non-coding RNA (BNAP_LNC019750)
Source: RNAcentral
UCUCUCAUCAUGAUUUCACCAACCUGAAACCACCACGUGCUUUGAGAUCAUCCUCUGUGAACGUUUCUUCCUCUUUCUAUGACGCCGUUGUUGUCUACCACAACCGAACGCCAUCUGCUUUCUCUAACGCUACCUAUUCAACGUCAUCUUUGGUUUGUCACACUUAAUGCGAUCGUGACUACAAAUCUACUGAAUCUUCUUCUCCAGAAUUUCCAGCUGAUGUCGAUGCUAACUUGAAGCUCCUGCAGAACCUGAAUCACCAUUGCCUCAAACCAGAAGCCCUUUGACUCAAUCCUUAUCCAACCUCAAUAGCCCGUAGACACCAAACUCCUCAUCCUGAGAAUUUCCUUUGUAACAAUCUGAAUGAACACCUUGCCUUGAACAUCACUCUGAACCGCUGCUGUUGCCAACAGAUUCCGCCGCUUAGCUCAACUUGCUAAGAAGACUUUCGACGCAAAGAAUCUCUGCUCAACUUCUGCUCAAACAAAUCAUUACCU